GCCUUACGGGACGCAGCAGUGAGGAAUAUUGGUCAAUGGGCGGGAGCCUGAACCAGCCAAGCCGCGUGAAGGAAGAAGGCGCCAAGCGUCGUAAACUUCUUUUGUCGGGGAACAAAGGGCGCCACGUGUGGCGUUGUGAGUGUACCCGAAGAAAAAGCAUCGGCUAACUCCGUGCCAGCAGCCGCGGUAAUACGGAGGAUCCGAGCGUUAUCCGGAUUUAUUGGGUUUAAAGGGAGCGUAGGCGGAUUAUUAAGUCAGUUGUGAAAGUUUGCGGCUCAACCGUAAAAUUGCAGUUGAUACUGGUA
Molecule: ribosomal RNA, 305 nt
Filed under: uncultured bacterium
Lineage: Bacteria
Description: bacterial SSU rRNA
Rfam family: Bacterial small subunit ribosomal RNA
Source: RNAcentral